AUGGCUACCACCAUCAUCAUCAUCACCACCACCAGGAUCAUUAGUACCAUCAUCAUCAUCAUUACCAUCACUACCAACAUCACCAUUGUUCCCCCAUCAUCAUCACCAUCUCAUCACCAUCACUACCACCACCAUCACCAUCACCACCACCAUCACCAUCAUCAUCACCAUCUCAUCAUCUCAUCACCAUCACCACCACCAUCACCAUCACCAUCACCAUCAUCAUCAUCACCAUCUCAUCACCAUCACUACCACCACCAUCACCAUCACCACCACCAUCACCAUCAUCAUCAUCACCAUCUCAUCACCAUCACUACCACCACCACCAUCACCAUCACCACCACCAUCACCAUCACCAUCAUCAUCAUCACCAUCUCAUCACCAUCACUACCACCACCAUCACCAUCACCACCACCAUCACCAUCAUCAUCAUCACCAUCUCAUCACCAUCACUACCACCACCAUCACCAUCACCACCACCAUCACCAUCAUCAUCAUCACCAUCUCAUCACCAUCACUACCACCACCAUCACCAUCACCACCACCAUCACCAUCAUCAUCACCAUCUCACCAUCUCAUCACCAUCACUACCACCAUCAUCAUCAUCACCACCACCAUCACCAUCACCAUCAUCAUCAUCAUCAUCACCAUCUCAUCACCAUCACUACCACCACCAUCACCAUCACCACCACCAUCACCAUCAUCACCAUCUCAUCACCAUCACCAUCACCACCACCAUCACCAUCAUCAUCAUCACCAUCACUACCACCACCAUCAUUACCAUCAUCACCACUAUCACAUCAUCACCAUCCCCACCACCACCAUCACCAUUUUUCACAUCACUCUCAUCACCAUAACUACCAUCACAUCACCACCAUCACCAUCAUCAUCAUCACCAUCCCAUCACCUUCACCACCAUCAUCACCAUCAUCUCAUCUUUACCAUCAUUAUUACCAUCAUCAUUAUCAUCAUCAUCAUCUCAUUAUUAUCACCACCACCACCACUACCAUCACAUCAUCACUAUCAUCACUGUCUCCACCACCAUCACCAUCACCAUCAAAAGGUGGGUGUAGUGCUCUGUACCUGUGGGCACUACAUCACUAUCACCACCAUCAUUAUUACUAUCAUCAUUAUCAUCACAAUCUCAUCAUUAUCACCACCACCACCAUUAUAUUUCUCACCACUGUUGUCACCAUUAUCAUCACUACCGCCACCAUCUCAUCACCAUCACCAUCCUCAUCAUCCAGACUCAUUAUAUUGUUGGUAAUGUGGCUGGUUUGGGGAAAAUUGUGCAGAACAGGUCAGCUAUGA
Molecule: long non-coding RNA, 1311 nt
Filed under: Callithrix jacchus (white-tufted-ear marmoset)
Lineage: Eukaryota; Metazoa; Chordata; Mammalia; Primates; Cebidae
Description: lncRNA (ENSCJAG00000087383.1)
Source: RNAcentral